This 338-nucleotide long non-coding RNA is filed under the name Mytilus galloprovincialis (Mediterranean mussel). Lineage: Eukaryota; Metazoa; Mollusca; Bivalvia; Mytilida; Mytilidae. The record is from RNAcentral.
GCCUCAUGUAAGAAAUUUCAAAACCAAACGCUUGUCUCCAUAUAAUUGUGUUCACGGCGAGUGCCUUGCAAGAAGCAAGUUCUGUUUUCCCUCAGACGUAGCCCCGAUUUUUCAGGAUCAAUGUUUCUUAUUUGUUUGUCUUUUGUUCAUUGAUUGCCCUUCUGUAUUCUGUUAGUGUUACAUUUGUUUGUAAUCUAGUAAUUUUUUUAUGAACUUGAUCAUGAGUUUAAAAAUAAAACCAGCAGCCACGGACUUAACUAUGUGAAUUCCAUUUUUGCUUUAUCAUGCACAUUGGUCUUUUGAUGUUGUCCCUAGAAACUUAAGUCUUACACUGAAAU